GAUAAGUAAUGUGADUUGCAGAAUUCAGUGAAUCAUCGAAUCUUUGAACGCACCUUGCGCCCUUUGGUAUUCCGAAGGCACGCCUGUUUGAGUGUCAU
RNAcentral lists this ribosomal RNA (98 nucleotides) under Hymenochaete rubiginosa. RNAcentral describes it as "partial 5.8S ribosomal RNA". It matches the Rfam family "5.8S ribosomal RNA", at positions 57 to 154 of the family's 154-position model. From Rfam's summary of the family: 5.8S ribosomal RNA (5.8S rRNA) is a component of the large subunit of the eukaryotic ribosome. Lineage: Eukaryota; Fungi; Basidiomycota; Agaricomycetes; Hymenochaetales; Hymenochaetaceae. The record is from RNAcentral.